CCUACGGGGGACAGCAGUGGGGAAUAUUGCGCAAUGGGCGAAAGCCUGACGCAGCGACGCCGCGUGAGGGAUGAAGGUUUUCGGAUUGUAAACUCCUUUUGUUAGAGAAGAUAAUGACGGUAUCUAACGAAUAAGCACCGGCUAACUCCGUGCCAGCAGCCGCGGUAAUACGGAGGGUGCAAGCGUUACUCGGAAUCACUGGGCGGAAAGAGCGCGUAGGCGGGAUGGCAAGUCAGAUGUGAAAUCCUAUGGCUUAACCAUAGAACUGCAUUUGAAACUGUUAUUCUAGAGUAUGGGAGAGGGAGGUAGAAUUCUUGGUGUAGGGGUAAAAUCCGUAGAGAUCAAGAGGAAUACUCAUUGCGAAGGCGACCUGCUAGAACAUAACUGACGCUGAGGCGCGAAAGCGUGGGGAGCAAACAGGAUUAGAUACCCCGGUAGUC
RNAcentral lists this ribosomal RNA (440 nucleotides) under uncultured bacterium. Its description in RNAcentral is "partial 16S ribosomal RNA". It matches the Rfam family "Bacterial small subunit ribosomal RNA", at positions 338 to 795 of the family's 1533-position model. The record is from RNAcentral.